This 358-nucleotide transfer-messenger RNA is filed under the name Sphingomonadaceae bacterium. It matches the Rfam family "Alphaproteobacteria transfer-messenger RNA". Rfam says of the family: Bacterial tmRNA, also known as 10Sa RNA or SsrA, is named for its dual tRNA and mRNA-like properties. The record is from RNAcentral. Lineage: Bacteria; Pseudomonadati; Pseudomonadota; Alphaproteobacteria; Sphingomonadales; Sphingomonadaceae.
CCACUUCACAUUAAUGUGAAAUCGCCUAUAUCGGGUGUGCUCGCUUCGGCGGGCUAUGAUGAUAAACUGCGCUGUGUACUAGGCGCAACGGACCCGGGGGCAGUACCCGGCGGCUCCACCAAAAGGCGCCUGGAAACAAGGGUUUCCCGGCAUUUUCUGAUGGGGCCGAACUAGGAUCGACGUGUGUUGAAAGGCAGUGUUUUCAUCCGGGCUGAGUAACCCGUUAAAGGCUCAAAACCCACAAGUGCCAAUGAUAAUGAAGCACUUGCUCUCGCCGCGUAAUGUGACGGCCUAACGGCCUGAAUUUACUAAGCCAAGAGCACGGUUCGGACCGAACCGGGUAACAGAAUCGGAAACC